RNAcentral lists this ribosomal RNA (440 nucleotides) under uncultured bacterium. RNAcentral describes it as "partial 16S ribosomal RNA". It matches the Rfam family "Bacterial small subunit ribosomal RNA", at positions 338 to 795 of the family's 1533-position model. The record is from RNAcentral.
CCUACGUGAGACUGCAGUGGGGAAUAUUGCACAAUGGGGGGAACCCUGAUGCAGCGACGCCGCGUGAGUGAAGAAGUAUUUCGGUAUGUAAAGCUCUAUCAGCAGGGAAGAAAAUGACGGUACCUGACUAAGAAGCCCCGGCUAACUACGUGCCAGCAGCCGCGGUAAUACGUAGGGGGCAAGCGUUAUCCGGAUUCACUGGGUGUAAAGGGAGCGUAGACGGCAGAGCAAGUCUGAAGUGAAAGCCCGCGGCCCAACUGCGGGACUGCUUUGGAAACUGCCCGGCUAGAGUGCUGGAGAGGUAAGCGGAAUUCCUAGUGUAGCGGUGAAAUGCAUAGAUAUCACACAGAACACCGAUUGCGAAGGCAUCUCACGAAUCCGCGAUUGACGCUGAUGCACGAAAGCGUGGGUAUCAAACAGGAUUAGAUACCCCAGUAGUC